RNAcentral lists this long non-coding RNA (1397 nucleotides) under Homo sapiens (human). RNAcentral's name for it is "HSALNT0241055". Lineage: Eukaryota; Metazoa; Chordata; Mammalia; Primates; Hominidae. The record is from RNAcentral.
GGAAGGAACUCAGAUAAAAACAAAUGUGCAAGAUCAUAUGAUAACAUGAGACAGCAGAGAGGAGAAGACCCCUGUCUCACAGCCAGUAAGUGGUAGGGCUGAGGUUUGAACUCGGGUUUCUCCAACUCCAAAGCCUGGGCUCUUUCCUUCAUGCAGUCUCCACACAAGAACUUGCACAGGUGCUCAAGGGUGCUGAGGAGGAGUGUUUGGUUGAAGAUGCAAGAAGAGAGAGAGAUUAAAUGGGAGUGGGCUUAGAUGAGGGAGGAAGAAGAUGAUGGGGAAGGAAGGUGGCAGACGGACUGAGUGAUGGAGAAGGGAGGUGGGGGAGGGAAGGGUCACAGGGUUCUGCUUUGACAGGGAUUUGGGAUCCCAAGAAUGGAGCUUUUUUUCCACACUGUGCCUUGCUGGAAUCACCUCACGUCCCCACAUGCGAUGAGCUCAUCCUUCUCUUGGCACCACCUGCCUCUCAUCUUGGCCCUGGCUGGGACGCACCAACGUUUCUGCAGGAGGAAUAAAGCAAUAACAGGAAUCUCAUUUUUCUCCUUAAAAUAAUAUCUCUCUGUUCUGCCAGCAAGCAGGGAGCUACUCCUGCCAGCACUCCAGUGGGAAGCCUGUUCCCAAUCCGAUAGGAUUAGUCUGAUACUGGCUUCCCAGGAGCCCCCAGUAGCCAAGGCAGCCCUCAGGUGACCUUGAGCUCCUGGCUACAGAUCCCCUGAUGUCCUUCUCAGCCCCCAGAUAGUCACUCACCUCCAUGCCUCCAUCCCAGGCUCUCCAGGGCAAAGGGAUGCUAUUCUCACUAGUCCCAGGCUCCCCUAGCUGGUAGCUCCUUCACCAUCUCUCUAGGACCUAACCAAUUUCCUACAAGGAAAGGAUCACUGGAAAAACCAUUUUGAACAGGAAGAAUUUAAUUUUUUUGCAACAGGCUUUCCCCUCUUUAAAGAAAAGAAAGAAAAAAGAGUCCUCAUUUACCUAAAGGUCUGAGUGCCUGGAAAUUUCUUCCCUGUGUGCACAUUACCCACUUCCUGGCUGCAGGGAUGGAAGGACUCGGAGAAUUCGAAGGAUAUUAAACAGAUUCAUAAUGGACUCAGCAGUAUAAACAUGUCUCAAGUGCAGACAGAAAUGCCACAAGCUCCUACUUGGUUUAAUGAAAACAUACACCAGUUGUGUCUGUGUUCCCAUUUUACAAAUAAACAAGGUGGGGAGAUGGACUCGGAAAUUGUCCCUGGGGAGCCAGGUGCCUCUGUUCAUUGCAAUUUCAAUGGCUUCUCCUGCCCACAAACAACUCGGAAAAGAACGCUUAAUGUAGCCUUGCAGAUCAGUGCCAAAAGGCACAGCAAAUGGGAGACGCCUGGCCAAAUGGUCCGCAGCCAUUCCUGUUCUUUGUGGUGAUGCUCCGC